Ictalurus punctatus (channel catfish) is the source of this 1559-nucleotide long non-coding RNA. Lineage: Eukaryota; Metazoa; Chordata; Actinopteri; Siluriformes; Ictaluridae. The record is from Ensembl.
UUCAUUAAAAAACAAAACGUCUUUAUUUCAUGUGCAUAUUGUUCCUGAGAGAAUGUGCAAUUCUUUUCAAAUCCAUGCUAACCAGAGGAAUAUAUACACAUUAUGACAAAACCAGUGCAUUACUUGGUUCACAGCAGUGACUAUAAACAAUAAAUCUCUCUUCCUCACGCCUUAAUCGUGCCUAUAUUUUCUUUAAUACAUGUGCUUGCAGCAGUGGAGUGCUGAUGCCAAGGGGGAUGAGCUGAUGUAUAAUAUAAAAAAAAACAUAAUUCAACAUAGCAUGUGUGGUUUUUAAGAAAGUGGACAAAAAAAAGGCUGUAUCAAAAAUGCUACAAACCCACAAUAACAGAAACAGCUAACCCCCCCCCCCCCCCCCCCCCCCCCCCACACACACACACACAUCUAGAUGUGAAUAAUUGAAUCAUUGAUACAUUUUAGACAUUACAAAUUCUCAGACGGGAUGUUUGAAAAAUCACAACUAUGGAUUGUACAAGACACUAGUUGGAAACCUCAAUUAAACAUAAUUGAUUUUUUUUUAUAAAUUAUGUCAGAUUAAUAGGCAACACUGUACCAUUUGGUGACAUGGAGCGGAAGAAGGAUGUUAUACAGUUACUUGGUUGAGAGAAAUGUAAAAACCUAUUGUUAUAAGAAAACAAUAGCACUGUAGGAAAAAACUAAAAUUAUAUAUAUGUAUAUACACACAAACACACACACACACAAAAUCAAUGAAGCUUGAUUUAGCAUUCAAUUCAGCUGAAGAAAGGAUGUACCUAGUCAUGUGGUGUGCUGUUAUUUAUAAAAGGCUGAACUUUUAUAUUUCUAAAAAAGUCAACAUCCAAAAUUUGGGGAAGGUUACACGUAUGUAGAGUUGAGUUAAGCACACCCUUAAGUUGAUUUUCUGGCUUUGCUAUUGAGAUGAUCUAAGAUACCUUUGUAUAUUUCUCGCCUCCAAGGUUGCCGGAUUUUCUUUAGUAGAAGCAGCCGAGACCGGGUUUGUAAUAGCUUCUACACCCCCACCUUUAAACACAAACACCUGCCUUUAAGACAGAAAAAAAAAUCAGUAUAGAAAAUACAGACUGAAAAAAGAAAUAGUUUUUUUUUUUCUCUAAAUGAAUUGUAAGGCAUAAUGAGAUGGCAAGGAUCUAACUAAAUCCAACAGGAGUCUAGUAUAUCGGCGAUAUAUUGGCCACUUGAUGCAGCACAUCCUAUUAUUUGGGUUGUGUAAGGGUCGCAGAGGUAACAAGCCUGGUAACGUCGAGUGCAAACCAGGAGAACUCAGCGGGGUGAGAGAUGGGAUGCUGGGCCAUUGUAGGACACCACACACACCUAGGGGUAAUUUAGCAUAGCCAGUCCACCUAUCUGCAAGUUUUUUGGACAGUGGAAGGAAACCCAUACAAACACACAGAGAGCAUGUGAAGCUUCAAACCGGAUCAAACUGGUGACCCUGGAACAGUGAGACGGCAAAGCUACCUUUUUAUAUUUUAAAUUUAUACAUUUAAUAUUGCCUUAGAGUGUUGUUACAGUCCAAAAACAUAAAUAUGUGUAUAUAUAUAUAUAUA